This 240-nucleotide ribosomal RNA is filed under the name uncultured bacterium. RNAcentral's name for it is "partial 16S ribosomal RNA". It matches the Rfam family "Bacterial small subunit ribosomal RNA", at positions 117 to 353 of the family's 1533-position model. The record is from RNAcentral.
GUGGGUAACCUGCCUUACAGUGGGGGAUAGCCUUUCGAAAGGAAGAUUAAUACCGCAUAAGAUUGUAGUAUCGCAUGAUAUAGCAAUUAAAGGAGCAAUUCGCUAUAAGAUGGACCCGCGUCGCAUUAGCUAGUUGGUGAGGUAAUGGCUCACCAAGGCGACGAUGCGUAGCCGACCUGAGAGGGUGAUCGGCCACAUUGGGACUGAGACACGGCCCAGACUCCUACGGGAGGCAGCAUG